GGAUGUAUUCCCUUCCCCUUUUUUGAGUUACUAUUCAUCAAGUGUGAAAAUUGAAGUUUUUGAUGGAGCUUUGCUUGGAGGUUGUUCUCUAGGCUUUGGGAAAGAAUUAGAGGUGUGCCUAGGGAUUGUGAGCAUUUGGAUUCUUUGGAGCGAGAUAGGUAACUUGUGUUACAAGUGAGCAAAUUGGUAAAGCUUCAAGAGGGUCCUCCCUCGGGACUGACUGUGUACACCUCUGAUAUAUUCUGAUUCCGCUUGGGGUCCUCUCUUGGGAACACGUGCAUUGAUUUCUACUUGGGGUCCUCCCUUGGGAAUGAUUGCGUACGCCUCUGAUAAGAUAUGUAUAUAUGCUUUGUUCUGUUAUGAUAUCUGUUAUAUGAUGUUUUGUAUACUCUGUAUCUGACUCUCAUGCAGGAGUGGGCCCAGGGGUAUGAAGAAUUCUCUAUAAACCCAGAGCUUAUUGAGAUUUGUUAACUCACCCCUUUUUGGGGACAUCAUUUCAGGUUCUCAAAUUCCCGGUGAGCCCUCAAGAGGCAGGGACACGACUCAUGGUUAGAGGUGCUACGACGGACCGAAUUUUUGAGUAGCGGUAGGCUACUGCUAUUUUGGAGUAUAUUCUUGUUGUUUUGUAUUCCAUUCAUUUUGGUGGAUCAUGAUGUUUGAUCUGUUACCUUGGAUAUGGCAUGUAUAUGUUUUGUACAUGUUUUCGCUUUGAUGCAUGUACAUUUGUGUAUUCAGGCAUGUCCAUAUUAUGAGCAAUA
This is a long non-coding RNA of Gastrolobium bilobum, 758 nucleotides long. RefSeq lists it as uncharacterized. The transcript is spliced from 3 exons. The record is from RefSeq and is a predicted model, not a curated record. NCBI's taxonomy places the organism in Eukaryota, Viridiplantae, Streptophyta, Magnoliopsida, Fabales, Fabaceae.